This is a long non-coding RNA of Jaculus jaculus (lesser Egyptian jerboa), 303 nucleotides long. RefSeq lists it as uncharacterized. NCBI's taxonomy places the organism in Eukaryota, Metazoa, Chordata, Mammalia, Rodentia, Dipodidae. The transcript has 3 exons. The record is from RefSeq and is a predicted model, not a curated record.
CGAGCCGAGCCGAGCGUCGCGCGAGCGCCUCCGAGCCCACCUCGCGGCCCCACGUCGCCUCCAGCUCCUCCCGGCUCCCGGCCCGAAGCACUACGCGGCCGGUCGGCCGCCCGCCCGCCAGAAGCCCCAUCCCGAGCUGGCCGAACCCCAAACGCAUUCUCAACAGGUGGCCGGGGCACCGAUACUUGUUGGGGAGAAGAUAUAUAUGCAGUUGAGGACAGCCUUUCCAUGGGAGGAAUCUCCGAAGGCUUCCUGGAGGAGGUGGGGUUUUGAGCUGGGCAGUAUCUAGGUUGAGUAUAAGUC